RNAcentral lists this ribosomal RNA (442 nucleotides) under uncultured bacterium. Its description in RNAcentral is "partial 16S ribosomal RNA". It matches the Rfam family "Bacterial small subunit ribosomal RNA", at positions 338 to 795 of the family's 1533-position model. The record is from RNAcentral.
CCUAGGGAGGCAGCAGUGGGGAAUAUUGGGCAAUGGGCGCAAGCCUGACCCAGCAACGCCGCGUGAAGGAAGAAGGCUUUCGGGUUGUAAACUUCUUUUCUCAGGGACGAAGACAGUGACGGUACCUGAGGAAUAAGCCACGGCUAAAUACGUGCCAGCAGCCGCGGUAAUUCGUAGGUGGCAAGCGUUAUCCGUAUUUGUUGGGGGUAAAGGGCGUGUAGGCGGGAGCGCAAGUCAGAUGUGAAAACUCAGGGCUCAACCCUGAGCCUGCAUUUGAAACUGUGGUUCUUGAGUGCUGGAGAGGCAAUCGGAAUGCCGGGUGUAGCGGUGAAAUGCGUAGAUAUACGGAGGAACACCAGUGGCGAAGGCGGAUUGCUGGACAGUAACUGACGCUGAGGCGCGAAAGCGUGGGGAGCAAACAGGAUUAGAUACCCUUGUAGUC